This is a non-coding RNA of Vicia faba (fava bean), 351 nucleotides long. The record is from the annotation of a GenBank genome assembly. NCBI's taxonomy places the organism in Eukaryota, Viridiplantae, Streptophyta, Magnoliopsida, Fabales, Fabaceae.
AUGAGGAAAGACAACAUAAUAAUUAUAUUGUAUUAUUACUUGGGAAAGGAAAAAAGUAGACUAUUAUUAUUAUUAUUUUUUUCAAAGGAAAACAAAACAGUAACAAGAACUUGUAAGACAAAAACAACACUUCCUCUCUUCAUGAAAAAAACACUUUCCUCCUUUUCUCUCUCUCACAUCCGAAUUCCUCCUUCUUCCUCCCCAUCACCGAUCCAAAUUCUUUUCUUCCUCCCUCGCAAAGAUCCGAACCCCCUCUUCCAUGGCACAACUUCUUUCUUCCUCUCUCUCUCAGAUCCGAACUCCUCCUAUUGUUACAGAUCCGAACCUUCUCUUAAUCAAGAUGUUGAUUAA